Long non-coding RNA from Dipodomys spectabilis (banner-tailed kangaroo rat), 389 nucleotides. RefSeq lists it as uncharacterized. NCBI's taxonomy places the organism in Eukaryota, Metazoa, Chordata, Mammalia, Rodentia, Heteromyidae. The transcript has 3 exons. The record is from RefSeq and is a predicted model, not a curated record.
CUACUCUGCCACCAGGCCAGUGAACUCCUUGAACAAGCUCAGCUUUUGCCAAAGUCGGGGAAGCCGUGGAAGGGCUUGGGACUGUCAUGGACUCCCAGAAACAAGGUGACAAUUGGGUGUUCUCACUACAGCUCUCCGGCCUCUGUCCUGGAUCACAUCAAAAGGAAGGAGAGAGAUCUUCUGAAUGUGCAGAGAGAGGUUGGAGCCACACAGCUACAAGCCAACAAAUGCUUGAGGUAAGGAGGCCUUGCUCUAGAGCCUACCUGGGGGUGCCAGCCUUGCAUCCACCUCCAUUUUGCGUUGCUGACCUCAAGUGCCACAAGAUGCUGGGCUUGGGCUUCACAGUUCUGAGGUGCAUCCAACUUUUUUUUGUCGGUCAUGGGGCUUGA